CGAAAUAAAGGAAAUGGUGUCUUCCUUACCCAACCGCAUUAAAAAGCUGAUGGCGCCUGAUUAGUU
RNAcentral lists this non-coding RNA (66 nucleotides) under Chryseobacterium sp. 8AT. Its description in RNAcentral is "crcB". It matches the Rfam family "Fluoride riboswitch aptamer (crcB RNA motif)". Lineage: Bacteria; Pseudomonadati; Bacteroidota; Flavobacteriia; Flavobacteriales; Weeksellaceae. The record is from RNAcentral.